This 527-nucleotide ribosomal RNA is filed under the name uncultured bacterium. RNAcentral describes it as "bacterial SSU rRNA". It matches the Rfam family "Bacterial small subunit ribosomal RNA", at positions 777 to 1301 of the family's 1533-position model. The record is from RNAcentral.
AAUAGAUACCCAGGUAGUCCACGCCGUAAACGAUGAGUGCUAAGUGUUAGAGGGUUUCCCGCCCUUUAGUGCUGCAGCUAACGCAUUAAGCACUCCGCCUGGGGAGUACGGUCGCAAGACUGAAACUCAAAGGAAUUGACGGGGGCCCGCACAAGCGGUGGAGCAUGUGGUUUAAUUCGAAGCAACGCGAAGAACCUUACCAGGUCUUGACAUCCUCUGACAACUCUAGAGAUAGAGCGUUCCCCUUCGGGGGACAGAGUGACAGGUGGUGCAUGGUUGUCGUCAGCUCGUGUCGUGAGAUGUUGGGUUAAGUCCCGCAACGAGCGCAACCCUUGAUCUUAGUUGCCAGCAUUUAGUUGGGCACUCUAAGGUGACUGCCGGUGACAAACCGGAGGAAGGUGGGGAUGACGUCAAAUCAUCAUGCCCCUUAUGACCUGGGCUACACACGUGCUACAAUGGAUGGUACAAAGGGCUGCAAGACCGCGAGGUCAAGCCAAUCCCAUAAAACCAUUCUCAGUUCGGAUUGU